UGGUGUUCUGCCUGUUCUUGUUCACCAGCAUGUGAAUGUGCUCAUCAUCAUCCUCAGUCUUCAGCAACUUUGGGAGGCUGGACUCUGGUGAGAUGCCACAUAAAGACAUUCUACAAAAUCAUCAUCUGUCUCUUCCUCUGAUUCUGAACUCAUGCUCAUGUUUGACCUCUAACAUGUCAAAAGAGGAACUCUUCCCAAGACUGGGGGAAAAGCCCAGUUUUGUAAGCUUAGCAACUGUAUACUGAGAAAUGGUGUGGAAGUAAGGAACAGCAGAAAAUGUAUUUGAGGAGAAUGACUUGUCUGAAUCGACGUGGUGAUGACACAGAGGAGGAACAGAUGGCACAGAGCUGCCCCUGCUCCAUUCAUCAUGUCCAGUGGAAACAAUGACAAUACCGCACUGGUUCUCAGCAAAUUACAGAGCUCAGCAAACAAAUCAGCCUGACUGGCAGAGGUCUUGGAAAAGGAAACUAAAAUCUGCCUUGCACUGCUCUAGAGGUUACAUGGCUAUGGAUCACAUCGCUGCUGAAAGAGGUCAGUAGAGAAAUGUCCCAGGAAAGAGAUUUUGCCUCUACCUAGAGCUUGUAAAGUGGGUUUUUUUAUAGCCUUUGGCUUGGCUGAGUAGCUCUGUUGGCAUCACUGGAUCUAGCUAGCUAAGUUUUUUUAUUUAAGAAGUAAGAAUUGAAGAAUCAACUUUAUGAGAAAUUUCCAGGUAAGGGUAUAGUAAUGGCAUCAGCUUUGUAAUGGCAAGAAGAUGGAGCAGAAGACACAGUGGGCUCUCUUGUGCUUGCUGCUGGAUUUUUGCAGGAGGCUCUUAGUUGCUAUUUAGUUAUUCUUUUUGUCUUGGUGUGAGUUUUUUAAUUAAUGUUUGUUUUGUCUGAUUAUGACAUUCUAGUCAGAUAUAUUUUAUUUUUAUAUCAGAAGAUAAGGACAGAACUGUAUCAACUGUGCAAUUUAUGAAGCCUUAAUCCUUUCCUUGCAAGGAGAUAAAAGUUGCAGGUGCUAUAAAUGUCCUCAGGUUAGGUACAGAUUCCUAACUGGAUUUCUUUAUCAUAUAUCAAUCAGAUAUUUGUAACAGACAAAAAAAUCUCAACAAUUUCCGAUGCUUUGAGUACUCAAAGCUUAUUGACAUCCAGAUGCAAUCAGAAAACUGGUUCUGGUAAUAUUGCCUAAGAACCCAGGCUGACAGCAUCUCUAAAAGCUUAAGGCUUUCAAG
This 1213-nucleotide long non-coding RNA is filed under the name Parus major (Great Tit). RNAcentral describes it as "lncRNA (ENSPMJG00000000943.1)". Lineage: Eukaryota; Metazoa; Chordata; Aves; Passeriformes; Paridae. The record is from RNAcentral.